AUUGAACGCUGGCGGCAGGCCUAACACAUGCAAGUCGAGCGGUAGCACAGAGAGCUUGCUCUCGGGUGACGAGCGGCGGACGGGUGAGUAAUGUCUGGGAAACUGCCUGAUGGAGGGGGAUAACUACUGGAAACGGUAGCUAAUACCGCAUAACGUCGCAAGACCAAAGUGGGGGACCUUCGGGCCUCAUGCCAUCAGAUGUGCCCAGAUGGGAUUAGCUAGUAGGUGGGGUAAUGGCUCACCUAGGCGACGAUCCCUAGCUGGUCUGAGAGGAUGACCAGCCACACUGGAACUGGGACACGGUCCAGACUCCUACGGGAGGCAGCAGUGGGGAAUAUUGCACAAUGGGCGCAAGCCUGAUGCAGCCAUGCCGCGUGUAUGAAGAAGGCCUUCGGGUUGUAAAGUACUUUCAGCGAGGAGGAAGGCGUUAAGGUUAAUAACCUUGGCGAUUGACGUUACUCGCAGAAGAAGCACCGGCUAACUCCGUGCCAGCAGCCGCGGUAAUACGGAGGGUGCAAGCGUUAAUCGGAAUUACUGGGCGUAAAGCGCACGCAGGCGGUCUGUCAAGUCGGAUGUGAAAUCCCCGGGCUCAACCUGGGAACUGCAUUCGAAACUGGCAGGCUAGAGUCUUGUAGAGGGGGGUAGAAUUCCAGGUGUAGCGGUGAAAUGCGUAGAGAUCUGGAGGAAUACCGGUGGCGAAGGCGGCCCCCUGGACAAAGACUGACGCUCAGGCGCGAAAGCGUGGGGAGCAAACAGGAUUAGAUACCCUGGUAGUCCACGCCGUAAACGAUGUCGACUUGGAGGUUGUGCCCUUGAGGCGUGGCUUCCGGAGCUAACGCGUUAAGUCGACCGCCUGGGGAGUACGGCCGCAAGGUUAAAACUCAAAUGAAUUGACGGGGGCCCGCACAAGCGGUGGAGCAUGUGGUUUAAUUCGAUGCAACGCGAAGAACCUUACCUACUCUUGACAUCCAGAGAACUUAGCAGAGAUGCUUUGGUGCCUUCGGGAACUCUGAGACAGGUGCUGCAUGGCUGUCGUCAGCUCGUGUUGUGAAAUGUUGGGUUAAGUCCCGCAACGAGCGCAACCCUUAUCCUUUGUUGCCAGCGGUCCGGCCGGGAACUCAAAGGAGACUGCCAGUGAUAAACUGGAGGAAGGUGGGGAUGACGUCAAGUCAUCAUGGCCCUUACGAGUAGGGCUACACACGUGCUACAAUGGCAUAUACAAAGAGAAGCGACCUCGCGAGAGCAAGCGGACCUCAUAAAGUAUGUCGUAGUCCGGAUUGGAGUCUGCAACUCGACUCCAUGAAGUCGGAAUCGCUAGUAAUCGUAGAUCAGAAUGCUACGGUGAAUACGUUCCCGGGCCU
RNAcentral lists this ribosomal RNA (1361 nucleotides) under uncultured bacterium. Its description in RNAcentral is "bacterial SSU rRNA". It matches the Rfam family "Bacterial small subunit ribosomal RNA", at positions 28 to 1381 of the family's 1533-position model. The record is from RNAcentral.